This 497-nucleotide ribosomal RNA is filed under the name uncultured bacterium. RNAcentral describes it as "partial 16S ribosomal RNA". It matches the Rfam family "Bacterial small subunit ribosomal RNA", at positions 28 to 507 of the family's 1533-position model. The record is from RNAcentral.
GAUGAACGCUGGCGGCGUGCCUAAUACAUGCAAGUCGAGCGAACGGACGAGAAUCUUGCUUCUCUGAUGUUAGCGGCGGACGGGUGAGUAACACGUGGAUAACCUACCUAUAAGACUGGGAUAACUUCGGGAAACCGUAGCUAAUACCGGAUAAUAUUUUGAACCGCAUGGUUCAAAAGUGAAAGACGGUCUUGCUGUCACUUAUAGAUGGAUCCGCGCUGCAUUAGCUAGUUGGUAAGGUAACGGCUUACCAAGGCAACGAUGCAUAGCCGACCUGAGAGGGUGAUCGGCCACACUGGAACUGAGACACGGUCAAGACUCCUACGGGAGGCAGCAGUAGGGAAUCUUCCGCAAUGGGCGAAAGCCUGACGGAGCAAUGCCGCGUGAGUGAUGAAGGUCUUCGGAUCGUAAAACUCUGUUAUUUGGGAAGAACAUAUGUGUAAGUAACUGGGCACAUCUUGACGGUACCUAAGCAGAAAGCCACGGCUAACUACGUG